This 253-nucleotide ribosomal RNA is filed under the name uncultured bacterium. Its description in RNAcentral is "partial 16S ribosomal RNA". It matches the Rfam family "Bacterial small subunit ribosomal RNA", at positions 524 to 776 of the family's 1533-position model. The record is from RNAcentral.
UACGGGGGGGGCAAGCGUUGUUCGGAAUUACUGGGCGUAAAGGGCUCGUAGGCGGCCAACUAAGUCGGACGUGAAAUCCCUCGGCUUAACCGGGGAACUGCGUCCGAUACUGGAUGGCUUGAGUCUGGGAGAGGGAUGCGGAAUUCCAGGUGUAGCGGUGAAAUGCGUAGAUAUCUGGAGGAACACCGGUGGCGAAGGCGGCAUCCUGGACCAACACUGACGCUGAUGAGCGAAAGCCAAGGGAGCAAACGGG